GUUUUCAAGCUGCUGUGUACUCAGUCUCUUCCAGCUGCGAGGGGAUUAUGAACAUAUUUCUCCUUGGUCUGCAUAAGUUGAUUCAUCUCAUCAGCAUUUUCUGAUCAAUUGAUACAUUUUUGAAAGCGUGUUUUUGGCAAUUGCUUUCUAAUGUGUGAAAUGAUACCAUCUUGGGUAUUAAUGAAAAAGGAUGCUAAUGCAAUAAACAGAAGUACUUUUUACAUCAAGGCCUUUCCCUAGAGACACAGGAGCAUUGAACAUCUUCAAGUGUUUUUCCUUUUACAAAUGGUCAGGUGAACAUUUUCUGAUUUAUAAAUUUGUCUUUUAAAAAAGCUGUUUGCAUCUUGAUGCAGGAUUUCAAGUCAACUUGUUUUGGUAACUUUUAAUUUCUAAGGAUGCAUCGCUCUGCAUUUAUCAGAAGUGGCUUUAUUGGAGGGGGAUAUAAGGAGCUGUUAACCCCUUGUUUGCAUGAGUGGAUAUGGGUCUUGCUUCCAUCUGCAGUCCUGACUCCAGAGCCUCCUCCCACUCAGGUCAGGGCUGGAGGGGAGUGCCUGUUUCCCCAGUGUACUCUGCUGAUGAGUCAUGCCCUUCAGUACACAGAUGCCAGAAGCCUCCAAGCUCUCAGUAAUAUUUGGGAAAGGGAACAUGGCCUUUUCCACCUUCUGCUACCUUGAGAAAGCAGAGUAAAAGCAACAGACAUGGUGAAAACAGGUGAGGGACCAUGGUUUGACCUUAAGGGUAGAGCAAAUAUCCUCACUGAUGCAUGAGUGACAUGAAAGGAGGAAGAAAUUACUCACAGAGACAUGAAGAUGGAUGAGUUUGCUGCUGGUUUAAUAUUUCCUACGCAACCCUAGCACGGGUCCAGGCCCUACUUCCAUGAAUCAGAUCAACUUCAAGGACAGCUGGAAAAACUGAUGCUGACUUUCAGAAGGGUUUGGGAGUCAGUGAGAACAAGACUAGGGCAUGUGGGACUGGCAGA
RNAcentral lists this long non-coding RNA (979 nucleotides) under Manacus vitellinus (golden-collared manakin). Its description in RNAcentral is "lncRNA (ENSMVIG00005000390.1)". Lineage: Eukaryota; Metazoa; Chordata; Aves; Passeriformes; Pipridae. The record is from RNAcentral.